AGUCUAUGAAACAAAAAAAAACAAUGAAAAUAAUGUUAUCCCCUUGAAAUCUCUUAAGCCUUUCAAGAACUCAUGGCAUAUCCUGGUGAAAUUGCUUCAUGUUUGGAGACAGUACUCUGUCAAGAGUGGUGAAUAAAUUGAAAUAAUUUUUGUUGAUCAAGUUGGUGAUAAAAUGCAUGCCGCCAUGAGAAAAUAUCACAUCAAUUUUUUAAAAAAAAUGUUUAACAGAAGGUUCUUGGAAGAUUGUAACGACCUUUGGUCUCAAUUCUUCCAGUGGCAUGUAUAGAGUUUCGGAUUUGAAGUUUAAUAUUGGAUUUUUCCAAAACA
Long non-coding RNA from Arabidopsis lyrata subsp. lyrata, 327 nucleotides. RefSeq lists it as uncharacterized. The transcript has 2 exons. NCBI's taxonomy places the organism in Eukaryota, Viridiplantae, Streptophyta, Magnoliopsida, Brassicales, Brassicaceae. The record is from RefSeq and is a predicted model, not a curated record.